AACACUAAAUCAUUUUAGAUGAGCUAGAUUGAUAUUCUAGAAAUGGGUAAUUCCCUAGUGUUG
This 63-nucleotide transfer RNA is filed under the name Pectinatella magnifica. RNAcentral describes it as "tRNA-Ile". The record is from RNAcentral. Lineage: Eukaryota; Metazoa; Bryozoa; Phylactolaemata; Pectinatellidae.